CUUUUCUAGCCCAGCAGAAUCCUGUUAAUACAGACCCUGUCACAAGCUUUCUGAUGAGCAGAAACCAGAUGUUUGUGUGGGAGCAAAAGGUAUCACAAGGAUCCAAGGGUGCCACUGGGGAGUCAAGAAGAUCAGCCCAGGGCUGAAGCGGCUUUCAGGAGACCAUGACUGUCCUUUUGAGAUACUGAGCCCUGAAUGAAGGGCAAUAUUCAUCUUUCUUCAGGUGGUUUACCACAAAGGGAGAAAGGGAGAAACUGUGUUGUUUGUUUAAGUUUGAAAGAGUGUAUUUCCUGACCAGCUGCCACUGUUUUACUCAGGCCGCGUUUCUUUCAGAGAUGAGCAAAGACAGCAGCCUUUACAUAACACCUGCCACCACUCAGCAGGCCAAAGGCAGAGGGUCUGAAGAGCAGAUGGGUCUGAAGCCCCGACUGGGGUCAUGGAUGUGAGUUCUCAGCUUCAGUCAUGCAUCACAUGGACUCUAAGUGGUGGGUCCCGAACAGAAACAGGCUCCAGCUGUGGCUGUGUUGUCCGAGGAGCGACAAGAAAACUCUAUGUGAUUGUGCAGUGCUUUGACUUAUCAACUUCUUCAGUUUGCAUUUCACCUAAACUGAAGAGAAAAGCAAAAAUAUUUAUAUACAAGCACAGGUAUGCAACUGUACAUUUGUCGGUACAUAUAGACACAUCUAUUCAUGUAUAUGCACAAACACAUUACAGACAUAAAUCUGCAUGUUCAGAAAGUAUGGAUAUCUUAUACUAUGAUCAGACCAGACUACUUCAAAUUUUCAUCCACGCUGUUGUGGAGGAAAGAAACAGAAUUAAACCCGGAAAGAAGUGAA
Long non-coding RNA from Hirundo rustica (Barn swallow), 836 nucleotides. RefSeq lists it as uncharacterized. The record is from RefSeq and is a predicted model, not a curated record. Lineage: Eukaryota; Metazoa; Chordata; Aves; Passeriformes; Hirundinidae. The transcript is spliced from 4 exons.